GACCUCGUAGCUCAGUUGGCUAGAGCACUACACUUUUAAUGUAGGAGUCCUGGGUUCGAAUCCCAGCGGGGCCA
This 74-nucleotide transfer RNA is filed under the name Caudoviricetes sp. Its description in RNAcentral is "tRNA-Lys". It matches the Rfam family "tRNA". Rfam says of the family: Transfer RNA (tRNA) molecules are approximately 80 nucleotides in length. Lineage: Duplodnaviria; Heunggongvirae; Uroviricota; Caudoviricetes. The record is from RNAcentral.